GAGCACUUGACUUUUAAUCAAGGUGUCCGGGGUUCGAGUCCCCGAUGACUCACCA
This 55-nucleotide transfer RNA is filed under the name Clostridiales bacterium. RNAcentral describes it as "tRNA-Ser". It matches the Rfam family "tRNA", at positions 21 to 71 of the family's 71-position model. From Rfam's summary of the family: Transfer RNA (tRNA) molecules are approximately 80 nucleotides in length. The record is from RNAcentral. Lineage: Bacteria; Bacillati; Bacillota; Clostridia; Eubacteriales.